GCGUGGUUGACGGCUCGGUUCCCGCGUCGAUGAAGGACGUAGCGAGAUACGAAAGGUGUUGCGAAUUGCAAGAUUUCGCGAGUCAAUGACCAUCCGAAUGCAUCGCCGCCCUUCCUUCGCCUUCGGGCGGAGGGAGGACGCGUCGGCG
RNAcentral lists this ribosomal RNA (148 nucleotides) under Halimeda borneensis. RNAcentral's name for it is "5.8S ribosomal RNA". It matches the Rfam family "5.8S ribosomal RNA". Rfam says of the family: 5.8S ribosomal RNA (5.8S rRNA) is a component of the large subunit of the eukaryotic ribosome. It is transcribed by RNA polymerase I as part of the 45S precursor that also contains 18S and 28S rRNA. Functionally, it is thought that 5.8S rRNA may be involved in ribosome translocation. Lineage: Eukaryota; Viridiplantae; Chlorophyta; Ulvophyceae; Bryopsidales; Halimedaceae. The record is from RNAcentral.